GGUUAAGCGACUAAGCGUACACGGUGGAUGCCCUGGCAGUCAGAGGCGAUGAAGGACGUGCUAAUCUGCGAUAAGCGUCGGUGAGGUGAUAUGAACCGUUAUAACCGGCGAUUUCCGAAUGGGGAAACCCAGUGUGUUUCGACACACUAUCAUUAACUGAAUCCAUAGGUUAAUGAGGCGAACCGGGGGAACUGAAACAUCUAAGUACCCCGAGGAAAAGAAAUCAACCGAGAUUCCCCCAGUAGCGGCGAGCGAACGGGGAGGAGCCCAGAGCCUGAAUCAGUGUGUGUGUUAGUGGAAGCGUCUGGAAAGGCGCGCGAUACAGGGUGACAGCCCCGUACACAAAAAUGCACAUGCUGUGAGCUCGAUGAGUAGGGCGGGACACGUGGUAUCCUGUCUGAAUAUGGGGGGACCAUCCUCCAAGGCUAAAUACUCCUGACUGACCGAUAGUGAACCAGUACCGUGAGGGAAAGGCGAAAAGAACCCCGGCGAGGGGAGUGAAAAAGAACCUGAAACCGUGUACGUACAAGCAGUGGGAGCCUCUUUAUGGGGUGACUGCGUACCUUUUGUAUAAUGGGUCAGCGACUUAUAUUCUGUAGCAAGGUUAACCGAAUAGGGGAGCCGAAGGGAAACCGAGUCUUAACUGGGCGUUAAGUUGCAGGGUAUAGACCCGAAACCCGGUGAUCUAGCCAUGGGCAGGUUGAAGGUUGGGUAACACUAACUGGAGGACCGAACCGACUAAUGUUGAAAAAUUAGCGGAUGACUUGUGGCUGGGGGUGAAAGGCCAAUCAAACCGGGAGAUAGCUGGUUCUCCCCGAAAGCUAUUUAGGUAGCGCCUCGUGAAUUCAUCUCCGGGGGUAGAGCACUGUUUCGGCAAGGGGGUCAUCCCGACUUACCAACCCGAUGCAAACUGCGAAUACCGGAGAAUGUUAUCACGGGAGACACACGGCGGGUGCUAACGUCCGUCGUGAAGAGGGAAACAACCCAGACCGCCAGCUAAGGUCCCAAAGUCAUGGUUAAGUGGGAAACGAUGUGGGAAGGCCCAGACAGCCAGGAUGUUGGCUUAGAAGCAGCCAUCAUUUAAAGAAAGCGUAAUAGCUCACUGGUCGAGUCGGCCUGCGCGGAAGAUGUAACGGGGCUAAACCAUGCACCGAAGCUGCGGCAGCGACACUAUGUGUUGUUGGGUAGGGGAGCGUUCUGUAAGCCUGUGAAGGUGUACUGUGAGGUAUGCUGGAGGUAUCAGAAGUGCGAAUGCUGACAUAAGUAACGAUAAAGCGGGUGAAAAGCCCGCUCGCCGGAAGACCAAGGGUUCCUGUCCAACGUUAAUCGGGGCAGGGUGAGUCGACCCCUAAGGCGAGGCCGAAAGGCGUAGUCGAUGGGAAACAGGUUAAUAUUCCUGUACUUGGUGUUACUGCGAAGGGGGGACGGAGAAGGCUAUGUUGGCCGGGCGACGGUUGUCCCGGUUUAAGCGUGUAGGCUGGUUUUCCAGGCAAAUCCGGAAAAUCAAGGCUGAGGCGUGAUGACGAGGCACUACGGUGCUGAAGCAACAAAUGCCCUGCUUCCAGGAAAAGCCUCUAAGCAUCAGGUAACAUCAAAUCGUACCCCAAACCGACACAGGUGGUCAGGUAGAGAAUACCAAGGCGCUUGAGAGAACUCGGGUGAAGGAACUAGGCAAAAUGGUGCCGUAACUUCGGGAGAAGGCACGCUGAUAUGUAGGUGAAGCGACUUGCUCGUGGAGCUGAAAUCAGUCGAAGAUACCAGCUGGCUGCAACUGUUUAUUAAAAACACAGCACUGUGCAAACACGAAAGUGGACGUAUACGGUGUGACGCCUGCCCGGUGCCGGAAGGUUAAUUGAUGGGGUUAGCGGUAACGCGAAGCUCUUGAUCGAAGCCCCGGUAAACGGCGGCCGUAACUAUAACGGUCCUAAGGUAGCGAAAUUCCUUGUCGGGUAAGUUCCGACCUGCACGAAUGGCGUAAUGAUGGCCAGGCUGUCUCCACCCGAGACUCAGUGAAAUUGAACUCGCUGUGAAGAUGCAGUGUACCCGCGGCAAGACGGAAAGACCCCGUGAACCUUUACUAUAGCUUGACACUGAACAUUGAGCCUUGAUGUGUAGGAUAGGUGGGAGGCUUUGAAGUGUGGACGCCAGUCUGCAUGGAGCCGGCCUUGAAAUACCACCCUUUAAUGUUUGAUGUUCUAACGUUGGCCCCUGAUCGGGGUUGCGGACAGUGUCUGGUGGGUAGUUUGACUGGGGCGGUCUCCUCCUAAAGAGUAACGGAGGAGCACGAAGGUUGGCUAAUCCUGGUCGGACAUCAGGAGGUUAGUGCAAUGGCAUAAGCCAGCUUGACUGCGAGCGUGACGGCGCGAGCAGGUGCGAAAGCAGGUCAUAGUGAUCCGGUGGUUCUGAAUGGAAGGGCCAUCGCUCAACGGAUAAAAGGUACUCCGGGGAUAACAGGCUGAUACCGCCCAAGAGUUCAUAUCGACGGCGGUGUUUGGCACCUCGAUGUCGGCUCAUCACAUCCUGGGGCUGAAGUAGGUCCCAAGGGUAUGGCUGUUCGCCAUUUAAAGUGGUACGCGAGCUGGGUUUAGAACGUCGUGAGACAGUUCGGUCCCUAUCUGCCGUGGGCGCUGGAGAACUGAGGGGGGCUGCUCCUAGUACGAGAGGACCGGAGUGGACGCAUCACUGGUGUUCGGGUUGUCAUGCCAAUGGCACUGCCCGGUAGCUAAAUGCGGAAGAGAUAAGUGCUGAAAGCAUCUAAGCACGAAACUUGCCCCGAGAUGAGUUCUCCCUGAGACUUAGAGUCUCCUGAAGGAACGUUGAAGACGACGACGUUGAUAGGCCGGGUGUGUAAGCGCAGCGAUGCGUUGAGCUAACCGGUACUAAUGAACCGUGAGGCUUAACCUU
This 2904-nucleotide ribosomal RNA is filed under the name Escherichia coli. RNAcentral describes it as "23S ribosomal RNA". It matches the Rfam family "Bacterial large subunit ribosomal RNA". The record is from RNAcentral. Lineage: Bacteria; Pseudomonadati; Pseudomonadota; Gammaproteobacteria; Enterobacterales; Enterobacteriaceae.